Triticum aestivum (bread wheat) is the source of this 626-nucleotide long non-coding RNA. RefSeq lists it as uncharacterized. NCBI's taxonomy places the organism in Eukaryota, Viridiplantae, Streptophyta, Magnoliopsida, Poales, Poaceae. The transcript is spliced from 2 exons. The record is from RefSeq and is a predicted model, not a curated record.
AUUUUCUUCGUGGCAGAUACCCUGGCAAUUGCCCCAUAACGACAUACCCAGCGAUUACUCGGCGAUGUCAGAGGCCGCGAUCAACAGCUACCGAACGUUGCAAUUGCCUUGGAGAGGCAAAGCGGUGGCGGCGGAACAAGGGAGCAGAUGGAUCACAACAGACUCGGAGUAUAUCGUGUUGGAGAUCUGAACACACAAGAUAGGAGCAACGAGCGAAAGAAGGCAACGGCUCUUCAAUACCUUUUUUUUUUCCUUGAUAACGUCCACACAUGUGGCAUACUAGACAUCCGUCCACACUCCGUGUGUGGCGUGAGCAGGAGGCAGCCCACAUGGGCUGUGUGUGGGCGAACAUUAGAAUUGCCACACGUAUGGGCGCAGCUACUUCGUGUCACACGCCCAACAAGUACUACUCAUCCCCACCCUGUGCGUGUGGCGCGAAGCAAAUAUGCCCACACGUCCUAGCGCAACUAUGUUAGGUACCCGCGGGAUGAAGAUUUAGUUGCCAUCCGGGAUGGCAAAUAUAGUUGUAAAAGUAUGGUAACUCUCUCUGUUUUGGUUAACUAUAAUUGUCAUGUCUAAUUUAUGGUAGUUGCCGCGUGUAAUCAAACCAUAGUUGCCGUGUGUGA